This 466-nucleotide ribosomal RNA is filed under the name uncultured bacterium. Its description in RNAcentral is "bacterial SSU rRNA". It matches the Rfam family "Bacterial small subunit ribosomal RNA", at positions 29 to 506 of the family's 1533-position model. The record is from RNAcentral.
AUGAACGUUGGCGGCGUGGAUUAGGCAUGCAAGUCGAGCGGUAAGGCCCCGCAAGGGGCACACGAGCGGCGUAAGGGACAGUAAAGUGUAGGUACGUACCCCCGGGACUGGGAUAGCUGCGGGAAACUGCAAUUAAUACCAGAUGACGUCUCCGGACCAAAGGUGUGAUUCCGCCAGGGGAGCGGCCUACAUCCUAUUAGCUAGUUGGCGGGGUAACGGCCCACCAAGGCUUAGAUGGGUAGCAGGUGUGAGAGCACGACCUGCGUCACUGGGACUGAGACACUGCCCAGACACCUACGGGUGGCUGCAGUCGAGAAUCUUCGGCAAUGAGCGCAAGCUUGACCGAGCGACGCCGCGUGCGGGAUGAAGGCCUUCGGGUUGUAAACCGCUGUCAGAGGGGACGAAAUGCUGGUGGGUUCUCCCAUCAGUUUGACUGAUCCUCAAAGGAAGGGUGGGCUAAGUUCGU